Long non-coding RNA from Passer domesticus (house sparrow), 848 nucleotides. RefSeq lists it as uncharacterized. The transcript is spliced from 2 exons. The record is from RefSeq and is a predicted model, not a curated record. NCBI's taxonomy places the organism in Eukaryota, Metazoa, Chordata, Aves, Passeriformes, Passeridae.
GGGGCCUGCCUGGUGGGAAGCAGCAGCUCCGUGUGCUGGGAAGCACUGGAGAAGGGAGGGAGGGUGUGUUAUUGCCCAGAAAGCAGCGGCUCUGACCGGCACACGGCUCUGUGAACACAAAGCAGCGUCUCUUCUUCAAGGUUGUUUAAGAGUAAACAAGAGCUGCCGGGAGGGAAGGAGCCCACGGCCGCCCCGGCGCUCCCAGGCUGCCUUGUGAGCACAGCAGAUGGGGCACAGGCCGUGCAGGCUGGGGCAGCCCACAAAACCCUUGCCCAGGCUUAUUUCUGCAGCUGCAGAUCACCUCAAAAACACAGCCCACGUCUGGCUUGCCAGGGCUUCAAACACCCCGCCAAGUUUCCAACAACCUUAAAGCCUUUCCUGCUCGGUGUUUGCUUUCCCGUCACCCGCGGGAGCGCUCGGUGCUCCGCGGGCCCUCAGCUUUGCUCUGGAGGCAGAACAAGGUAUUUGUCUAACCCCGUGACACUGAGAGACCUGAUUUCCCGGUACAAAUGUUAAAAUGUAAACUCCCAGAGACGUGGCCUGUCACAACCAGCAUCCAGAACACCCUCGCCCUGGUUUCUUGUUGAGUGUCCUGGGGGGACAGCAGGAGACCCAGGAGAUGCUGGAUAAUCUGUGCUGUGAUCACAGCAGGAGAAGAGCCCCAGUGGGAGGACAGGAGAAAGACUUCUGGCCAGUCCUGGCUGAGUGGCUGGUGGAUUCAGGGGUUAAAAAAAGGCCUUUUGCAAGCGGUGCCUCCAUCCAACAGGAUGGAGAGAUUAGAAACACCUAAAGCGCCUGAAGGUUUGCAGCACCACUGACUGAUCAAAUAAAAAUAUGUGAAUCAUAAA